AGUGAACGCUGGCGGUAGGCCUAACACAUGCAAGUCGAACGGCAGCACAGUAAGAGCUUGCUCUUACGGGUGGCGGGUGGCGGACGGGUGAGGUAUACAUCGGAAUCUACAUUUUCGUGGGGGAUAACGUAGGGAAACUUACGCUAAUACCGCAUACGACCUACGGGUGAAAGCAGGGGAUCUUCGGACCUUGCGCGAUUGAAUGAGCCGAUGUCGGACUAGCUAGUUGGCGGGCUAAAGGCCCACCACGGCGGCGAUCCGUAGCUGGUCUGGGCGGAGGGUCGGCCGCCCGGGAACUGAGACAGGGUCCAUGCUCCUGCGGGAGGGAGCAGUGGGGAAUGUUGGACAAUGGGCGCAAGCCUGACCCAGCCAGACCGCGUGGGUGGAGAAGGCCUUCGGGUUGUAAAGCCCUUUUGUUGGGAAAGAAACGCAGCAGGUUAAUACCCCGCUGUUCUGACGGUACCCAAAGAAUAAGCGCCGGCUAACUUCGUG
This 492-nucleotide ribosomal RNA is filed under the name uncultured bacterium. Its description in RNAcentral is "partial 16S ribosomal RNA". It matches the Rfam family "Bacterial small subunit ribosomal RNA", at positions 28 to 507 of the family's 1533-position model. The record is from RNAcentral.